AUGCAAUACAGAGUUCACCCUUCUAAGGAUUUCACCUGGAGAGGUUCCAGUACUCUACCAGUCUCAGCUUUGGGAGGAAGAGUCAGAGGCAUAGCCAAUCCAUUCCUGGCUUGGGCAGUGGCUAGAGAGUGGAAGACAAUCUGCUACAAGUCAAAACUCACCCAGGCUGGACAGCAGCAGCACGGGAGAGAGUCGAAGGCAGAGACUCAAGUUUACCGCAUGGAAGAAGGCAAUGGUAAACCACUUCUGUAUUUUUACUAAGAAAACUCUCUGGAUACACUAGUGGGACAACUGUAGAUUGAGGUGGGGCGUUCUGGGAGAGAUGUGUCAAUGUUGUCGCUAUGGGUCGGAAAUGGCUCGACAGCAUAAGAUGAGAAAAGACAAGAGUUAAAAAAAAAAAAAUCCCCCAAUUCUCAUAAAUUUUCACCCACCUUGACCAUUCUUUUAGUGUAGUGGUGGUAUUCCAUCUGAUGACAAUGAACUCCUCAAACCUCUGCUUUUGCUUUGUGUUGGGGAGAAGUUAAAUUUUCUAUUUUUUACAGUUUUGCAAGUAUACAGCCUGAUUUCUGUUAGGUCUAAUUGUGUUUUCUGGCUCUGGCCCCUGGGGUCCAUGCUAGUUUUUUCAUGUAGUUAGUAUCCUCAGAGUAGUGCUUACCAGUCUACUGUAAAACAAAUAAAAAAGUGUUCCACAGCAGGAAAAGUCUCCAGAAAUGUGCAUGGAGAGGAUCCCUCAGUGAUGAGUUCUCUUUCAGCUUGAUCUAUCUACUUUGUCCCUGGUUGCCUUUGUGUUUUAACAGUAUCCAUCCCCCAGAUCCUGUAUUGCUGUGUCUUUCUUCCCCUCUAGACUGUAAGCUCCUUGUGGGCAGGGAAUGCCUGUUUAUUGUUAUAUUGUACUCCCCCAAGUACUAAGUACAGUGCUCUGCACACAGUAAGUGCUCAAAAAGUAUGACUCAUUGAAAUAUGAUAGAUUGUUCCCGCAGUGCUGUUCGCUUUGCUUUCACCUUGAUCUAUCUGCUUUGUCCCCAGCUUGCUUUGUGUCUCUAAUAGUAUCCAUCUCCACAUCCUGUAAUUGAUUGUCUGCCUCCUCCUCUAAUUUGUACUCUGCUUGCGGGGUUGCUGUCUACCUUCUAAAUUGAACUCUCAAGUGCUUAGUUCAGUGCUCUGAAUGCUGUGAGCACUCAAUAAAUAUCAUCUCUUGAAUGAUCC
RNAcentral lists this long non-coding RNA (1206 nucleotides) under Ornithorhynchus anatinus (platypus). Its description in RNAcentral is "lncRNA (ENSOANG00000047193.1)". The record is from RNAcentral. Lineage: Eukaryota; Metazoa; Chordata; Mammalia; Monotremata; Ornithorhynchidae.